AUCCAACUGACGAGUCCCAAAUAGGGACGAAACACACGUCCUGAAU
This 46-nucleotide non-coding RNA is filed under the name Schistosoma haematobium. Lineage: Eukaryota; Metazoa; Platyhelminthes; Trematoda; Strigeidida; Schistosomatidae. The record is from RNAcentral.